RNAcentral lists this ribosomal RNA (210 nucleotides) under uncultured bacterium. Its description in RNAcentral is "partial 16S ribosomal RNA". It matches the Rfam family "Bacterial small subunit ribosomal RNA", at positions 28 to 227 of the family's 1533-position model. The record is from RNAcentral.
GACGAACGCUGGCGGCGUGCUUAACACAUGCAAGUCGAGCGGUAAGGCCCUUUCGGGGGUACGACGAGCGGCGAACGGGUGAGUAACACGUGGGUGGACCUCGCCCUCCAGCUCUGGGAGUAAGACCGUCGGGAAACCGGGGUACCUAAUAACUGGAUAUGACUCCGUGACGCAUGUUGUGGGGUGGAAAGCCUUGUGCGGCUGAGGAGU